UUGCAGAAUUCAGUGAAUCAUCGAAUCUUUGAACGCACCUUGCGCUCCAUGGUAUUCCGUGGAGCAUGCCUGUUUGAGUGUCAUGAAUACUUCAACCCUCCUCUUUUCUAGUGAAAGAGAAGGUGCUUGGUUUCUGAGCGUUUUGCUGGCCUCACGGUCGAGCUCGCUCGUAAUGCAUUAGCAUCCGCAAUCGAACUUCGGAUUGACUUGGCGUAAUAGACUAUUCGCUGAGGAAUUCUAAUCUUCGGAUUAGAGCCGGGUUAGGUUAAAGGAAGCUUCUAAUCCUAAUGUCUAUAUUUUAAGAUUAGAUCUCAAAUCAGGUAGGACUACCCGCUGAACUUAAGCAUAC
Molecule: ribosomal RNA, 349 nt
Filed under: uncultured Rhodosporidium
Lineage: Eukaryota; Fungi; Basidiomycota; Microbotryomycetes; Sporidiobolales
Description: eukaryotic LSU rRNA
Rfam family: 5.8S ribosomal RNA (bases 1-83)
Source: RNAcentral